AAGAUAUUAGUAAAAUGUAAAUUACACCACCUUGUCAAGGUGGUAUCACAGGUUAAACCCCUGUAUAUCUUA
Molecule: transfer RNA, 72 nt
Filed under: Saurogobio gracilicaudatus
Lineage: Eukaryota; Metazoa; Chordata; Actinopteri; Cypriniformes; Gobionidae
Description: tRNA-Asp
Rfam family: tRNA
About the family: Transfer RNA (tRNA) molecules are approximately 80 nucleotides in length. Their secondary structure includes four short double-helical elements and three loops (D, anti-codon, and T loops). Further hydrogen bonds mediate the characteristic L-shaped molecular structure. tRNAs have two regions of fundamental functional importance: the anti-codon, which is responsible for specific mRNA codon recognition, and the 3' end, to which the tRNAs corresponding amino acid is attached (by aminoacyl-tRNA synthetases). tRNAs cope with the degeneracy of the genetic code in two manners: having more than one tRNA (with a specific anti-codon) for a particular amino acid; and 'wobble' base-pairing, i.e. permitting non-standard base-pairing at the 3rd anti-codon position.
Source: RNAcentral